AGUCCAAACACUCCCGCUGCCUGCUCCAUACAGCAGUGGAGCUUAUUUUUAGUUCAGUUCACAGAUUGUAACUGCAGGAAGAAGUGUGGUUGGAACUCUGUCGCUUUUCGCGUUAUAUUCUCCUUCGACAACAUUCUGAAGUACUGGAGAUGCUACGAUUUCUCCGAAUCGCGGGAAGUUGUCUGCACAGUACAGGAGAGUCGCUGGCGGUGAAGAGCUGUUGCGGUGGUAGGAAGCCCGCGAUCUCAAACGCUGUACCACAUGGCGGAGCUAGGAAUGUGACGGAUUUCCAACAAUUUAACAUCUACAGAACUCUGUCGGAGAGGAAGGAGUCCCACUCCUGGAAAUGCAUUCUGUCAAAUAAGGGCACGCCGAGGCCAGUGACUGGGCUGAUUAGGUCUUAC
Molecule: non-coding RNA, 404 nt
Organism: Zootermopsis nevadensis
Lineage: Eukaryota; Metazoa; Arthropoda; Insecta; Blattodea; Termopsidae
Source: RefSeq, a predicted model, not a curated record